This 440-nucleotide ribosomal RNA is filed under the name uncultured bacterium. RNAcentral describes it as "partial 16S ribosomal RNA". It matches the Rfam family "Bacterial small subunit ribosomal RNA", at positions 338 to 795 of the family's 1533-position model. The record is from RNAcentral.
CCUACGAGUAGCAGCAGUGGGGAAUAUUGCACAAUGGGGGAAACCCUGAUGCAGCGAUGCCGCGUGAGUGAAGAAGUAUUUCGGUAUGUAAAGCUCUAUCAGCAGGGAAGAAAAUGACGGUACCUGCUUAAGAAGCCCCGGCUAACUACGUGCCAGCAGCCGCGGUAAUACGUAGGGGGCAAGCGUUAUACGGAUUUACUGGGUGUAAAGGGAGCGUGGACGGCAGCACAAGUCUGGAGUGAAAUGCCGGGGCUUAACCCCCGAACUGCUUUGGAAACUGUGCAGCUAGAGUGCAGGAGAGGUAAGUGGAAUUCCUAGUGUAGCGGUGAAAUGCGUAGAUAUUAGGAGGAACACCAGUGGCGAAGGCGGCUUACUGGACUGUAACUGACGUUGAGGCUCGAAAGCGUGGGGAGCAAACAGGAUUAGAUACCCUUGUAGUC